RNAcentral lists this ribosomal RNA (1005 nucleotides) under Triticum aestivum (bread wheat). Its description in RNAcentral is "partial small subunit ribosomal RNA". Lineage: Eukaryota; Viridiplantae; Streptophyta; Magnoliopsida; Poales; Poaceae. The record is from RNAcentral.
AUGGCGGUCAGGUAUUUGCUGCUCCCUCUGGCCCUGCUGGCUCUCGCAGCUACCUCGGCUGCGGUGGCUCAGCUGGAGAUCGGCUUCUACAGAAAAACAUGCCCGGACGCCGAGAAGAUCGUCCGCGGGGAGAUGGCCAAGAUCAUCGCCGCUGCGCCCAGCCUCGCCGGCCCGCUCCUCCGUCUCCAUUUUCACGACUGCUUCGUCAGGGGUUGUGACGCCUCUGUCCUGCUGGAAUCGACCGACGGCAACAUGGCGGAGAAGGACGCCAAGCCGAAUAAGAGCCUGCGAGGGUUCGGCUCCGUCGAGCGCGUGAAGGCCAAGCUCGAGGCCGCGUGCCCGGGUAUCGUCUCCUGCGCUGACGUCCUUACCCUCAUGUCCCGUGACGCCGUCGUGCUGGCCAAGGGUCCGUCCUGGCCGGUGGCUUUGGGCAGGAGAGACGGCAGAGUGUCCAGGGCCACGGAGGCUAGCAAAGAGCUGCCCCCGGCCUCCGGCGAUGUCCCUCUGCUCGCCAAGAUCUUCGCCUCCAAGGGCCUCGACCUCAAGGACCUCGUCGUCCUCUCCGGCGCCCACACGCUCGGCACGGCGCACUGCCCGUCCUUCGCCGACCGGCUCUACAACGGCACCGGCGAGAACGAUGCCUAUGGCCUCGUCGACCCAUCUCUGGACAGCGAAUACGCCGACAAGCUAAGGCUCAAGUGCAAGAGCGUUGAUGACCGUACUAUGCUGUCGGAGAUGGACCCCGGGAGCUUCAAGACCUUCGACACCAGCUACUAUCGCCACGUCGCCAAGCGGAGGGGCCUCUUCCGCUCCGAUGCCGCGCUCCUCUUCGACAACACCACCAGGGACCAAGGUUUUGGUUACCAGUCGAAAUUUCAAGAUUUCCCAUGGUUACCACGUAUUUCCGUGCCCCUCGGUAAAUCGUCAUACCGAGCAAAAAAUACCAUUUUUUUUGAAAUUUUUGAAUUUAAACACUCGAUUUACAGUCAGGUAUGUAGGGUCUAA